CCCAUACCCAAAUAUAAUCUAAAGGGGUUAAACUGAGAAAAAGAACACCGGUGAGACAAAGGGAUUUAAACUGGAGGAACAAGGAAAGAAAAAGUGCAUUCCUACUUACCUCAAGGGUUCUGUGCAAUGAAGUAGAAAAAGAACAGAAAGAAUUUCAGAGAGACUCAUCAGCAUCAUCACAGGGAUCCUUGAUGAAGCAGAUGGAAAAUACAGCAUGAACCCUAAUAAAAAUGCUUCCUGUGCCAAUCCUGAGACCACAGUGACUGUGGAACCUGAAUUAACAUAUGUCAUGAGAGGAAAGGAAGCUGAACAAAGAGCACAGUGAAGUGACUUGGCCUGACCUCAUUUCCUU
Molecule: long non-coding RNA, 352 nt
Filed under: Homo sapiens (human)
Lineage: Eukaryota; Metazoa; Chordata; Mammalia; Primates; Hominidae
Description: non-protein coding lnc-MICU3-2:1
Source: RNAcentral